This 301-nucleotide ribosomal RNA is filed under the name uncultured bacterium. RNAcentral describes it as "partial 16S ribosomal RNA". It matches the Rfam family "Bacterial small subunit ribosomal RNA", at positions 509 to 807 of the family's 1533-position model. The record is from RNAcentral.
CAGCAGCCGCGGUAAUGCGUAGGUGGCAAGCGUUGUCCGGAAUUACUGGGCGUAAAGGGCUCGCAGGCGGUUUCUUAAGUCUGAUGUGAAAGCCCCCGGCUCAACCGGGGAGGGUCAUUGGAAACUGGGAAACUUGAGUGCAGAAGAGGAGAGUGGAAUUCCACGUGUAGCGGUGAAAUGCGUAGAGAUGUGGAGGAACACCAGUGGCGAAGGCGACUCUCUGGUCUGUAACUGACGCUGAGGAGCGAAAGCGUGGGGAGCGAACAGGAUUAGAUACCCCAGUAGUCCCUGUCUCUUAUAC